RNAcentral lists this ribosomal RNA (468 nucleotides) under uncultured bacterium. RNAcentral describes it as "bacterial SSU rRNA". It matches the Rfam family "Bacterial small subunit ribosomal RNA", at positions 329 to 794 of the family's 1533-position model. The record is from RNAcentral.
UUCCAGACUCCUACGGGAGGCAGCAGUGGGGAAUAUUGGUCAAUGGGCUUACGCCUGAACCAGCCAAGUCGCGUGAGGGAAGACUGCCCUAUGGGUUGUAAACCUCUUUUGUCAGGGAGCAAUUGGCGCUACGUGUAGCGUUAUCGAGAGUACCCGAAGAAAAAGCAUCGGCUAACUCCGUGCCAGCAGCCGCGGUAAUACGGAGGAUGCGAGCGUUAUCCGGAUUUAUUGGGUUUAAAGGGUGCGCAGGCGGAUUUUUAAGUCAGCGGUCAAAUCGUGGGGCUCAACCCCAUCCAGCCGUUGAAACUGGGGAUCUAGAGUGUGCGAGAGGUAUGCGGAAUGCGUGGUGUAGCGGUGAAAUGCAUAGAUAUCACGCAGAACUCCGAUUGCGAAGGCAGCAUACCGGCGCCCGACUGACGCUGAGGCACGAAAGCGUGGGGAUCGAACAGGAUUAGAUACCCUUGUAGG